Molecule: ribosomal RNA, 484 nt
Filed under: uncultured bacterium
Lineage: Bacteria
Description: partial 16S ribosomal RNA
Rfam family: Bacterial small subunit ribosomal RNA
Source: RNAcentral
AUUGAACGCUGGCGGCAGGCCUAACACAUGCGAGUCGAGCGGAUGAAGGGAGCUUGCUCCUGGAUUCAGCGGCGGACGGGUGAGUAAUGCCUAGGAAUCUGCCUGGUAGUGGGGGAUAACGUCCGGAAACGGGCGCUAAUACCGCAUACGUCCUGAGGGAGAAAGUGGGGGAUCUUCGGACCUCACGCUAUCAGAUGAGCCUAGGUCGGAUUGGCUAGUUGGUGGGGUAAAGGCCUACCAAGGCGACGAUCCGUAACUGGUCUGAGAGGAUGAUCAGUCACACUGGAACUGAGACACGGUCCAGACUCCUACGGGAGGCAGCAGUGGGGAAUAUUGGACAAUGGGCGAAAGCCUGAUCCAGCCAUGCCGCGUGUGUGAAGAAGGUCUUCGGAUUGUAAAGCACUUUAAGUUGGGAGGAAGGGCAGUAAGUUAAUACCUUGCUGUUUUGACGUUACCAACAGAAUAAGCACCGGCUAACUUCGUG